AACGAACGCUGGCGGCAUGCCUAACACAUGCAAGUCGAACGAGACCUUCGGGUCUAGUGGCGCACGGGUGCGUAACGCGUGGGAACCUGCCCUUAGGUUCGGAAUAACUCCCCGAAAGGGGUGCUAAUACCGGAUAAUGUCUUCGGACCAAAGAUUUAUCGCCUUUGGAUGGGCCCGCGUUGGAUUAGCUAGUUGGUAGGGUAAAAGCCUACCAAGGCGACGAUCCAUAGCUGGUCUGAGAGGAUGAUCAGCCACACUGGGACUGAGACACGGCCCAGACUCCUACGGGAGGCAGCAGUGGGGAAUAUUGGACAAUGGGCGAAAGCCUGAUCCAGCAAUGCCGCGUGAGUGAUGAAGGCCUUAGGGUUGUAAAGCUCUUUUACCCGGGAUGAUAAUGACAGUACCGGGAGAAUAAGCUCCGGGUAACUCCGUG
Molecule: ribosomal RNA, 433 nt
Filed under: uncultured bacterium
Lineage: Bacteria
Description: partial 16S ribosomal RNA
Rfam family: Bacterial small subunit ribosomal RNA
Source: RNAcentral